GACGAACGCUGGCGGCGUGCUUAACACAUGCCAGUCGAACGGAAAGGCCCUGCUUUUGUGGGGUGCUCGAGUGGCGAACGGGUGAGUAACACGUGAGUAACCUGCCCUUGACUUUGGGAUAACUUCAGGAAACUGGGGCUAAUACCGGAUAGGAGCUCCUGCUGCAUGGGGGGGGUUGGAAAGUUUCGGCGGUUGGGGAUGGACUCGCGGCUUAUCAGCUUGUUGGUGGGGUAGUGGCUUACCAAGGCUUUGACGGGUAGCCGGCCUGGGAGGGUGACCGGCCACAUUGGGACUGAGAUACGGCCCAGACUCCUACGGGAGGCAGCAGUGGGGAAUAUUGCACAAUGGGCGGAAGCCUGAUGCAGCAACGCCGCGUGCGGGAUGACGGCCUUCGGGUUGUAAACCGCUUUCGCCUGUGACGAAGCGUGAGUGACGGUAAUGGGUAAAGAAGCACCGGCUAACUACGUG
This 468-nucleotide ribosomal RNA is filed under the name uncultured bacterium. RNAcentral's name for it is "partial 16S ribosomal RNA". It matches the Rfam family "Bacterial small subunit ribosomal RNA", at positions 28 to 507 of the family's 1533-position model. The record is from RNAcentral.